AAUAACACGAAUUAUUUAUUUGAGGAAAAGUUAUAUAUAUGGGCCAAUCCUACAACUUUACUGCAUAAAACGUGUGACCACUAACAGAAAAAGAGGAAGGUUACAGGGGUUAUUUUUGCCCUUGGUAACUUCUACUGUUCUUGGCUCUUGUGAACAAAGAAUUGACUUGUUGAUUGUUAUUGGUAAAGGUAGAAUUUAACCUUGCUAGCUGUGAUGAAUCUUGAGGUGCAGGUAAUAUAGACGAGCAGACUAUAAUCUAGGCCAUUUUAUUCCAGAUGCUGAUUGGUGAGCUCCACUCUUGAUUGUGGAGUUUCUCUUCUUUCAUCAACUUCAUUCACUUAUUUCUUUUUUCAGUAUUUGCUUGGGGAUUAGCCAGGAAAUCUAUGUCCUGUGCAUUCCUGUUAGCACUCUAGUAGAGGCUUCAUAGACGUAUUUUUAGUUGGGUUAUGUUUGGUCAUGUUACUUUGAAUUAUUUUAAGGGUAAUUUGAACUGGUGUUCUAAUAAGAGAUUUUUCAUGUA
This is a long non-coding RNA of Capsicum annuum, 520 nucleotides long. RefSeq lists it as uncharacterized. Lineage: Eukaryota; Viridiplantae; Streptophyta; Magnoliopsida; Solanales; Solanaceae. The transcript is spliced from 2 exons. The record is from RefSeq and is a predicted model, not a curated record.